CAAUAGCGUAUAUUAAAGUUGUUGCGGUUAAAAAGCUCGUAGUUGGAUUUCUGCUGAGGACGACCGGUCCGCCCUUCGGGUGAGUAUCUGGUUUGGCCUUGGCAUCUUCUUGGUGAACGUAUCUGCACUUGACUGUGUGGUGCGGUACCCAGGACUUUUACUUUGAGGAAAUUAGAGUGUUUCAAGCAGGCAUACGCCUUGAAUACAUUAGCAUGGAAUAAUAAGAUAGGACCUCGGUUCUAUUUUGUUGGUUUCUAGAGCUGAGGUAAUGAUUAAUAGGGAUAGUUGGGGGCAUUCGUAUUUAACUGUCAGAGGUGGAAUUCUUGGAUUUGUUAAAGACGGACUACUGCGAAAGCAUUUGCCAAGGAUGUUUUCAUUG
RNAcentral lists this ribosomal RNA (379 nucleotides) under uncultured eukaryote. Its description in RNAcentral is "partial 18S ribosomal RNA". It matches the Rfam family "Eukaryotic small subunit ribosomal RNA", at positions 592 to 975 of the family's 1831-position model. The record is from RNAcentral.